RNAcentral lists this long non-coding RNA (1364 nucleotides) under Cavia porcellus (domestic guinea pig). Its description in RNAcentral is "lncRNA (ENSCPOG00000037967.1)". The record is from RNAcentral. Lineage: Eukaryota; Metazoa; Chordata; Mammalia; Rodentia; Caviidae.
UUUACUUAGAUAUGACUGCUAAGUAUGCAUAAUUCUGUUAUGAUUUGCUAGGUCAUAUACUAUAUUCUGGAUUUUAACUCAUCAUACCUUUUCUUUAGAGGAUGAACCAUCUUCUCCAACUGUUAAAAACCAAACACUCUCAAAGAAAACUGUCAGAACACAAGAAGCUCCAAGCUCAGGACAUCAAAAAAACCCUCAAGAAUGGUUUGAACAGCAGGUCAGAAUGAGGAGUAGGAUGCAGAGUAAGUAAACUUGUUUGAUGUGUUUUUCCUGGUUAUCUUAUAUACAAAAAUAAUCAUUUGUUCAUACAAGCAUUUGGGUUGUUUGUGAUCUCACUAAUAAAAAACAGCUGCGAUUACUAGUUCACUAAUUUCCAUUUGCUUGGACUGGGAUUAGAUGGACUGGGUGUACAACAUAGAUAGUGGCAUGAGAAAAUCUGGAUGAUGGACGUGGUGUGACAGUAUGUCCAAUCAUAGCAGCAAGCAUAUAUAGAAUGACAUUGUACUACUUUGACAAUCAUGGUUUUUAGUUAGCAGACUUUAUAGUAACACAACAGUUUUACAUACCCAUUUUCUUAUGUAAUAAGAGCUGGGAUGCACAAACUGUGUUUUCUUGUUCAAGUUUAGGAUUGGAUUAAGUGUCACAGAAUUUAAGAAAUGCUCAUAAAUUGAUAUCAUGAAAUUUUACUUUGAACACCUUGCCUGUCAUAAUUUCUGUAGAAAUGUGUCCGAUUAAUCCUUGACUAUAUUAAACUUGUACAUGUACACACACACAUUGUGUGCCUUAAAUAACCUUUAUUCUUUAUCUCCGUUUUACUCCUCUGACUAUAGUGGUCUCAAGGUCCUCAGGUGUCCCCUUAUUUUUAUUAAAUAAUAGAAAAAUCUCUAUUACGUGUCUCUUAUUUAUGGAAUGAUUAACUCUGUAACUGGACAAGAUAACCUCUUUGGCUUUGUUUUUCCAUGAAUAUUAAUAUGAUCACAAUUCUUUUUUCCUCAGCAGUGAGCCACUGUUUUUAAUUUUUUCCCAUUUACCAUAUGUAAAACAGUGUGAAUAGGAAAGGACGUGUCUCUAAAGAUGUAAGAUCAUUAAAUAAGUGCUUUGGAACCUAUUUUAAAAGUUGGUGUGAAAUGCCUAUCAUCCCAGCUCUUGGGAGACUGAGGAAAGAGGAUUGUUGUGAGUUCAAGACCAGACGGGGCUACAAAAUGAGCUCAAAGCCAGCCUGAACUGCAUAGUGAGAAAGACCAAAAAAUAAAAUAAAAGAUGAUGUGGAGAAAAGAAGAUAGACUUUGGAGUUAUAGCACCUGGGUGCUAGACUUAACACUCUUCACUUGCCAAUUGAAAGAGCUUGAUAAAGUCACUUAAAC